This 499-nucleotide ribosomal RNA is filed under the name uncultured Glomeromycotina. RNAcentral describes it as "partial small subunit ribosomal RNA". It matches the Rfam family "Eukaryotic small subunit ribosomal RNA", at positions 591 to 1092 of the family's 1831-position model. Lineage: Eukaryota; Fungi; Glomeromycota. The record is from RNAcentral.
CCAAUAGCGUAUAUUAAAGUUGUUGCAGUUAAAAAGCUCGUAGUUGAAUUUCGAGAUCAAAUUGUUGGUCGUGCCUCGGUACGUACUGGCAUUAUUGAUUUCUCCCUUCUGACGAUCCGCGAUGUCAUUACUUUGGUGUCAUGGGAAAUCAGGACUGUUACUUUGAAAAAAUUAGAGUGUUUAAAGCAAGCUCGCGCUUGAAUACAUUAGCAUGGAAUAAUGAAAUAGGACGUUUGAUUCUAUUUUGUUGGUUUCUAGGAUCGACGUAAUGAUUAAUAGGGUUAGUUGGGGGCAUUAGUAUUCAAUUGUCAGAGGUGAAAUUCUUGGAUUUAUUGAAGACUAACUACUGCGAAAGCAUUUGCCAAGGAUGUUUUCAUUAAUCAAGAACGAAAGUUAGGGGAUCGAAGACGAUCAGAUACCGUCGUAGUCUUAACCAUAAACUAUGCCGACUAGGGAUCGGAUGAUGUUAAUUUUUUAAUGACUCAUUCGGCGCCUUACG